This 134-nucleotide ribosomal RNA is filed under the name Cercocebus atys (sooty mangabey). Lineage: Eukaryota; Metazoa; Chordata; Mammalia; Primates; Cercopithecidae. The record is from RNAcentral.
UGUGGGGUUCCGCUCUGACAGCCCCCGGGGCCCCAAAGCAGCCUUAGGGCACUGCAGCCUGGAAGCUAAGCAGGAUUGGGCCUGGCUGGGGCUUGGGUGGGAGACUGCCUAGGAAGACCAGGGAGACUCCAAAG